This 775-nucleotide ribosomal RNA is filed under the name uncultured Neocallimastigales. Its description in RNAcentral is "partial large subunit ribosomal RNA". It matches the Rfam family "Eukaryotic large subunit ribosomal RNA", at positions 23 to 627 of the family's 3401-position model. Lineage: Eukaryota; Fungi; Neocallimastigomycota; Neocallimastigomycetes; Neocallimastigales. The record is from RNAcentral.
GAGACUCUGUGCGCGUGCAUAUCAAUAAGCGGAGGAAAAGAAGCUAACAAGGAUUCCCCUAGUAACGGCGAGUGAAGCGGGAAGAGCUCAAAUUUGAAAUCUUAAAGGGUUUCCCUUUACGAAUUGUAGUUUAAAGAAGUGUUUUCUGUUGGAGUUUCGGUAAAAGUUCUUUGGAAUAGGACAUCAUAGAGGGUGAGAAUCCCGUAUUUGACCGUUACUUUCCAGCUGUGUGAUACACUUUCAAAGAGUCGGAUUGUUUGGGAAUGCAGUCCAAAAUGGGUGGUAAAUUUCAUCUAAAGCUAAAUAUUGGCGAGAGACCGAUAGCGAACAAGUACCGUGAGGGAAAGAUGAAAAGAACUUUGAAAAGAGAGUUAAACAGUACGUGAAAUUGUCAAAAGGGAAGCGUUUGACACCAGUGUUGUUUAGUUGAAAAUCAAUUCAAUAAUUUUUGAUUUUGAGUAGUAUUGACUUCAUCAGCUUGCUGCUCUCUUUUCGGAAAUUAUUGAAUGCACUUUUCAGUUAACAAGUCAACAUCAAUUUCUUUUGUUGUAAAAGGGUAAGAGGAAGGUGGCUUACGCUUCGGCGUAAGUGUUUAUAGCCUUUUACCUCUGCAAUCGGAGAGAUUGAGGUCUGCAGCGUAGAUCCUUCGGGGUUAGAUACACUUGUGCUAAGCUAUAGCCUUGUAUAGACAACUUGUUGACUAUGCUCAGUCAUGUAGCUUACUCGCUGAUGCUAUUUUACCUACGCUUAGGAUGUUGACGAUCAGCUGAGCGCG